Molecule: unclassified non-coding RNA, 609 nt
Filed under: Hevea brasiliensis (rubber tree)
Lineage: Eukaryota; Viridiplantae; Streptophyta; Magnoliopsida; Malpighiales; Euphorbiaceae
Source: RNAcentral
UUUAUAGUCAUUUUCUAUUUGGUUUCCAUGAGUCUCCAGAGCUUUAAUUACUCCUUCAAGUUCUCCUGCCUUUUUAGACCAUUCCUCGGAGCUCUCCUUGUACAAUUCCACUAGCUUGUUUAACGUUGCAAUUUCACCGGACAUUUGGUCCUCUUUUGCAGCUGCUACAUCCUUCGCGGAUAAUAAAUCUUGCUCUAGAGAAGUGAACUUCAACUCCAUUUCCCUCACUUGUUCCUGUUUUCUCUUCAAACACCUAUCACAUUCACUAAUUUUUUUCUCGGCAUCAACAAGUUUGGCAGACAUAUCAGCCUCAAGCUCAGAAUGAGCUUUACGCAGCUCCAUGAGACCAUUGACCUUUGUUGUUAACUCGUCAUUAAGCCAUGCAUUAUGCCUCUCAACAAGCUCCUUCUCCUGCAAAAGCCGCGAACAAGAAGCCUGACAGCGUGACACUUCAGUCUCCAAGUCACAGACCCGUACUUCCCUAUUUGCAGCAAUAUCAGUCAAGUGAACAAUCUUAUCAAGAUAGCUUUUGAUAGUGGAAUUUUUCUCACUAAUCUCCAAGUCUUUCUGUUCUACCAAUUCCAUCAAUUGCCUCUUUGUUUUCCGGAG